CCUUGGUGAUUGACGUUACUCGCAGAAGAAGCACCGGCUAACUACGUGCCAGCAGCCGCGGUAAUACGUAGGUGGCAAGCGUUAUCCGGAUUUAUUGGGCGUAAAGCGAGCGCAGGCGGUCUUUUAAGUCUAAUGUGAAAGCCUUCGGCUCAACCGAAGAAGUGCAUUGGAAACUGGGAGACUUGAGUGCAGAAGAGGACAGUGGAACUCCAUGUGUAGCGGUGAAAUGCGUAGAUAUAUGGAAGAACACCAGUGGCGAAGGCGGCUGUCUGGUCUGUAACUGACGCUGAGGCUCGAAAGCAUGGGUAGCGAACAGGAUUAGAUACCCUGGUAGUCCAUGCCGUAAACGAUGAUUACUAAGUGUUGGAGGGUUUCCGCCCUUCAGUGCUGCAGCUAACGCAUUAAGUAAUCCGCCUGGGGAGUACGACCGCAAGGUUG
Molecule: ribosomal RNA, 438 nt
Filed under: uncultured Pediococcus sp.
Lineage: Bacteria; Bacillati; Bacillota; Bacilli; Lactobacillales; Lactobacillaceae
Description: bacterial SSU rRNA
Rfam family: Bacterial small subunit ribosomal RNA
Source: RNAcentral